ACCGGUCUUCAAUAUUCCCGGCCGCCGCUUCCACUGCUCUCCGUCCAAAUCGUCGCCACCUCUCCCAAAUCCUCCACUGCGCUUGCUCGCUCUCUCCAAAAUCGCCGCACCGCGUCCUCACCCAGUACUCACCCCCGCCCCCACCCGAGAUCCUGCUGCCUCUCGACCUUAAUCUUGUCCGCGCCCUCCACCCAGAUCCUGCGUGCAUGUGCAUCCUCCCUCGUCGGCGGCAAGAACAAGCUCGUGCGUUGUCCACCUCCCCGACUAAACACAGCCAGGUGCGCACACGGUUUGGGGUGUCUGCGGUGAAGGAAUUCCCAACAAGCCUGCAACUCAAUGCCGCCUCCGUUCUUGCCUGCUUAUUUUAGAGUAUAUUCAUCUGCUUAUUUUAGGGUAUGUGGUCUUUGCUCGUGGGCUGCUCCUAGUACAAGUGAACUAGAUCUGAGUUGAUGUGUUCUUGAUUUCUAAACUUGGCAUUGUUCCGAGUCUUUCUCCAACUUAUCCCUUAUCAUUAGAUGGGAAUUUAUUCAAUAAGUAGAUCUGAAA
Molecule: long non-coding RNA, 546 nt
Organism: Panicum virgatum (switchgrass)
Lineage: Eukaryota; Viridiplantae; Streptophyta; Magnoliopsida; Poales; Poaceae
Exons: 2
Source: RefSeq, a predicted model, not a curated record